AAAACAUCUACUGUGUGUUGUUCAAAACAAAGCAAGGGCAAACAGAAUCAUUUCUUCUCACUGUUGGUCCGGCGGAAGGUUAUGAACACUUUGGCUCUGGUCACGUCAGGAACGCACGGACACACAUUCGCAUCAACCACCCUCAUGGCAAACAGGGGCAGAGAAGAGCAUCAUAUUAAUCUUGUAGGCAGUGAUAGUGAGUCUGUGGCACUGCGUGGGGAAUCUCCUGUGUCUCUGGUGUUGAAAGA
Long non-coding RNA from Monopterus albus (swamp eel), 248 nucleotides. RefSeq lists it as uncharacterized. The transcript has 2 exons. The record is from RefSeq and is a predicted model, not a curated record. NCBI's taxonomy places the organism in Eukaryota, Metazoa, Chordata, Actinopteri, Synbranchiformes, Synbranchidae.